This is a non-coding RNA of Rattus norvegicus (Norway rat), 222 nucleotides long. The record is from RefSeq and is a predicted model, not a curated record. NCBI's taxonomy places the organism in Eukaryota, Metazoa, Chordata, Mammalia, Rodentia, Muridae.
CUCCCCCAUCUGCUCCCUGCAGGCAAGGCUCUGGUUCUCCAAGCCUGGCAAAGCACUGCGCUGGCUGAUGUCAUUUGUGACACAAUGGAAGAAACAAAUCCAUAAGCAGCCCAGAGACUCAGGACUCACACUCCCCUGCCGAGCCCAGGACCCUGUCAGACAAGGACUCAAGCUUGGAGCAGCACUGACUUCUCUCCUUCCUCGGCCCUGGUCACCUGGAGG